RNAcentral lists this long non-coding RNA (292 nucleotides) under Homo sapiens (human). RNAcentral's name for it is "HSALNT0130983". Lineage: Eukaryota; Metazoa; Chordata; Mammalia; Primates; Hominidae. The record is from RNAcentral.
GGCUGUUGGUCUAAUGGCUGAGGGCCUCUCACUGGGAAGAGACAGGAAGAAGGCUGGCAGGGUAGGUGGUGAGGGACAGAGCCGUGUGUGUCCUGGGGCUGACUGCAGGGGUCAUUGGAAGAGCUGCAGCGAGAGGCUGAGGUUGCCGUGCAUCACAGAGUCCCUUCCCAGCAUGGAGGAGCCGGGCAGAGGGGUGCGCAUGGGCAGGGGGUGUGCCAGGAGAGGCAGGGGUGCAGGAGAGGCACCCGCAGGGUGCUGGGCACUCCAUGGUGGUCUCUACCCGCUCCCCCAC